This is a long non-coding RNA of Temnothorax curvispinosus, 825 nucleotides long. RefSeq lists it as uncharacterized. The record is from RefSeq and is a predicted model, not a curated record. Lineage: Eukaryota; Metazoa; Arthropoda; Insecta; Hymenoptera; Formicidae. The transcript has 4 exons.
UAAAAUCAACGCCGGGAGUUCGAUCCUGAUAUAGGAGCUUAUACCAAUUUUAAAUGAACGUGCCGGAUUACCACCAGACACAGAACUCGCUUUAUAUGAGGGAAUUAAACCAAAUUUAGUCGAGAAAAUAGAUAACCUAUCGGAGCCUUUGGAAAAAUUUCUGGAGGAAUUAAUGGACGGUGACAUCAUCGUAUUUCAAAAGGAAGGCGACAAUGAAAUGUACGAACUUCCAACGUGUCGAGAAUAUUUUAAAGAUCUAUUCUAUAGGGUAGAAGUAACGUUUUGUGAUAAACUGAUUCCGAACGACCCAGGUUUUACAAUGGAACUUUCGUUAAGAAUGACAUAUGAUCAAAUGGCAAAGGCUGUAGCGCAAUGAGUCGGCACAGAUCCGUAUCUUUUACAAUUCUUUAAGUGUCAAAAUUACAAAGAUUCUCCCGGCCAUCCUUUAAAGUGUACAUUUGACGGCACGCUCAAAGAAUUGGUUGCGUACUGCAAAACGAAAGUAAAGAAAUUAUUUUAUCAGCAGCUCAGUAUUAGGGUGAACGAGCUAGAAAACAAGAAACAGUUCAAGUGCAUAUGGGUAGGGCCGUCGCUUAAGGAGGAGAAGGAGAUGAUUCUUUACCCAAAUAAAAACGGCACUGUUGCUAAUUUACUCGAGGAGGCUAAGAAGCAGGUAGAAUUAUCGGAAAACGGAUCGGGGAAACUGAGGAUAUUAGAAAUGACUUGCAACAAGCUGUCACCCGGCCCCGUGGACGAUACACCAUUAGAUCACUUAAACACAUCAGGCACCAAGUUGUACAGGAUAGAAGAAAUACCGGUUGACGA